RNAcentral lists this ribosomal RNA (354 nucleotides) under uncultured bacterium. Its description in RNAcentral is "bacterial SSU rRNA". It matches the Rfam family "Bacterial small subunit ribosomal RNA", at positions 8 to 350 of the family's 1533-position model. The record is from RNAcentral.
AGAGUUUGAUCCUGGCUCAGGAUGAACGCUAGCUACAGGCUUAACACAUGCAAGUCGAGGGGAAACGACAUUGAAAGCUUGCUUUUGAUGGGCGUCGACCGGCGCACGGGUGAGUAACGCGUAUCCAACCUGCCCAUCACUUGGGGAUAACCUUGCGAAAGUAAGACUAAUACCCAAUGACGUCUCUAGAAGACAUCUGAAAGAGAUUAAAGAUUUAUCGGUGAUGGAUGGGGAUGCGUCUGAUUAGCUUGUUGGCGGGGUAGCGGCCACCGAAGGCGACGAUCAGUAGGGGUUCUGAGAGGAAGGUUCCCCACAUUGGAACUGAGACACGGUCCAAACGUCCUACGGGAGGCA